CUCAGAUAAAGCCAAAACCCGGGCAACCGGGUGACGGAAAGCCACAGAUCCGGAGAUAUCCACCACUCCAGGGACGGAGGACAACGUAACGGGACGACGGAUGGACCGGAUGGCUGGGCCGCCUGG
Molecule: non-coding RNA, 126 nt
Filed under: Geobacter pickeringii
Lineage: Bacteria; Pseudomonadati; Thermodesulfobacteriota; Desulfuromonadia; Geobacterales; Geobacteraceae
Description: c-di-GMP sequence
Rfam family: c-di-GMP-I riboswitch aptamer
About the family: GEMM was predicted in a large-scale screen for bacterial structured RNA regulatory elements. Genes associated with GEMM are involved in a diverse array of functions, including chemotaxis regulation, signal transduction, secretion and chitin.
Source: Rfam by way of RNAcentral